UACGUAGGGUGCAAGCGUUAUCCGGAAUUAUUGGGCGUAAAGAGCUCGUAGGUGGUUUGUUAAGUUGAAUGUGAAAGCCCGGAGCUCAACUCCGGAAUGGCAUUGGAAACUGGUUAACUUGAGUGUUGUAGAGGUAAGUGGAACUCCAUGUGUAGCGGUGGAAUGCGUAGAUAUAUGGAAGAACACCAGUGGCGAAGGCGGCUUACUGGACAACAACUGACGUUGAGGCUCGAAAGUGUGGGUAGCAAAC
This 250-nucleotide ribosomal RNA is filed under the name uncultured bacterium. RNAcentral describes it as "partial 16S ribosomal RNA". It matches the Rfam family "Bacterial small subunit ribosomal RNA", at positions 524 to 773 of the family's 1533-position model. The record is from RNAcentral.